Molecule: ribosomal RNA, 468 nt
Filed under: uncultured bacterium
Lineage: Bacteria
Description: partial 16S ribosomal RNA
Rfam family: Bacterial small subunit ribosomal RNA
Source: RNAcentral
GACGAACGCUGGCGGCGUGCUUAACACAUGCAAGUCGAACGGAAAGGCCCUGCUUUUGUGGGGUGCUCGAGUGGCGAACGGGUGAGUAACACGUGAGUAACCUGCCCUUGACUUUGGGAUAACUUCAGGAAACUGGGGCUAAUACCGGAUAGGAGCUCCUGCUGCAUGGCGGGGGUUGGAAAGUUUCGGCGGUUGGGGAUGGACUCGCGGCUUAUCAGCUUGUUGGUGGGGUAGUGGCUUACCAAGGCUUUGACGGGUAGCCGGCCUGAGAGGGUGACCGGCCACAUUGGGACUGAGAUACGGCCCAGACUCCUACGGGAGGCAGCAGUGGGGAGUAUUGCACAAUGGGCGGAAGCCUGAUGCAGCAACGCCGCGUGCGGGAUGACGGCCUUCGGGUUGUAAACCGCUUUCGCCUGUGACGAAGCGUGAGUGACGGUAAUGGGUAAAGAAGCACCGGCUAACUACGUG